RNAcentral lists this ribosomal RNA (253 nucleotides) under uncultured bacterium. RNAcentral describes it as "partial 16S ribosomal RNA". It matches the Rfam family "Bacterial small subunit ribosomal RNA", at positions 524 to 776 of the family's 1533-position model. The record is from RNAcentral.
ACCGUAGGUUCCGAGCGUUAUCCGGAUUUACUGGGCGUAAAGCGCGUUCAGGCGGUUUGGCAAGUCGGGCAUGAAAUCUCUCGGCUCAACCGGGAGAGGUUGUCCGAUACUUCCAGACUUGAGGGCAGUAGAGGGUGGUGGAAUUCCGGGUGUAGUGGUGAAAUGCGCAGAUAUCAGGAGGAACACCAAUGGCGAAGGCAGCUCGCUGGAACGGUACUGACGCUGAGGCGCGAAAGCGUGGGGAGCGAACAGG